UAGUUGUAAACCAGGUUUCCGUAGGUGAACCUGCGGAAGGAUCAUUGACGUUUACAAGUAGGGGAGGGGUGCGAACCCUCCCCGAAAAACAACAAGUCUUCGAACACCUUUGUGCACUCUCGAGGGGGGACCUCUCCGUUCCCCCUCGGGUUGACGAAAACGCCCGUUCUGUUUCACGCGUGUAAGGAUGGAUCAUAAAAGUAAUGAAAUACAACUUUCAACAACGGAUCUCUUGGCUUUCGCAUCGAUGAAGAACGCCGCGAACGCGCGAAACGUAAUGUGAAUUGCAGAAUUCAGUGAAUCAUCGAAUCUUUGAACGCACCUUGCGCUCCUCGGCAUUCCGAGGAGCAUGCCUGUUUGAGUGUCGUGAAGUCUCAUCGAAGGGGGCCCCUUUUGCUUGGGGGACCCUUUCGGACUUGGACGGUCUUGCCUUCUUCCGAAGGCUCGUCUUCAAAUUCAUCGGUGAAACCCCGCCCCCCGGGUCUCGCAGACGCGUGUUAAAGUCUCGUGUCGAUGGGUCCCGGAGGGGAGAGGGCCCGCGUGUUUUCAUGUAUCCAACUCCCUGACCUCAGAUCAGGCAGGACUACCCGCUGAACUUAAGCAUAUCAAUAAGCGGAGGAAAAGUAGCUAAGGAUGGAUUCCUCUACGUAACUGCGAGUGAAGGGGGGAAA
RNAcentral lists this ribosomal RNA (671 nucleotides) under Itajahya sp. BAB-4821. RNAcentral describes it as "eukaryotic LSU rRNA". The stretch from base 213 to 367 matches the Rfam family "5.8S ribosomal RNA". The record is from RNAcentral. Lineage: Eukaryota; Fungi; Basidiomycota; Agaricomycetes; Phallales; Phallaceae.